This 466-nucleotide ribosomal RNA is filed under the name uncultured bacterium. RNAcentral's name for it is "bacterial SSU rRNA". It matches the Rfam family "Bacterial small subunit ribosomal RNA", at positions 28 to 507 of the family's 1533-position model. The record is from RNAcentral.
GACGAACGCUGGCGGCGUGCUUAAAAACAUGCAAGUCGAACGGACUUCUCAUGAAGCUUGCGAUUGAGAAGUUAGUGGCGGACGGGUGAGUAACGCGUGGGCAACCUGCCCCUGAGCCCGGGAUAACAGUUCGAAAGGACUGCUAAGACCGGAUAUACUUGCGGGGAAGCAUUUCACUGCAAGGAAAGGGAACGCUCAGGGAUGGGCCCGCGUCCCAUUAGCUAGUUGGUGAGGUAACGGCCCACCAAGGCGACGAUGGGUAGCCGGCCUGAGAGGGUGAACGGCCACACUGGGACUGAGACACGGCCCAGACUCCUACGGGAGGCAGCAGUUGGGAAUCUUCGGCAAUGGGCGCAAGCCUGACCGAGCAACGCCGCGCGAGUGAUGAAGGUUUUCGGAUUGUAAAGCUCUGUCUUCCGGGACGAUAAUGACGGUACCGGAGGAGGAAGCCACGGCUAACUACGUG